RNAcentral lists this non-coding RNA (86 nucleotides) under Chromera velia. Lineage: Eukaryota; Chromeraceae. The record is from RNAcentral.
UGCACUUUUCAUGUCUCCAUUCAAGCUUCUUUUCUUCUCUUUUCUCUUCUUCUCUUCGGAAGUUUUUCAAAGAAGGGAAGGGGAGG